RNAcentral lists this ribosomal RNA (497 nucleotides) under uncultured bacterium. RNAcentral describes it as "partial 16S ribosomal RNA". It matches the Rfam family "Bacterial small subunit ribosomal RNA", at positions 28 to 507 of the family's 1533-position model. The record is from RNAcentral.
GAUGAACGCUGGCGGCGUGCCUAAUACAUGCAAGUCGAGCGAACAGACGAGGAGCUUGCUCCUCUGACGUUAGCGGCGGACGGGUGAGUAACACGUGGAUAACCUACCUAUAAGACUGGGAUAACUUCGGGAAACCGGAGCUAAUACCGGAUAAUAUAUUGAACCGCAUGGUUCAAUAGUGAAAGACGGUGUUUCUGUCACUUAUAGAUGGAUCCGCGCCGCAUUAGCUAGUUGGUAAGGUAACGGCUUACCAAGGCAACGAUGCGUAGCCGACCUGAGAGGGUGAUCGGCCACACGGGAACUGAGACAGGGUCCAGAGUCCUACGGGAGGCAGCAGUAGGGAACGUUACGCAAUGGGCGGAAGCCUGACGGAGCAACGCCGCGUGAGUGAUGACGGUCUUCCGAUCGUAAAACUCUGUUACUAGGGAAGAACAAAUGUGUAAGUAACUAUGCACGUCUUGACGGUACCUAAUCAGAAAGCCACGGCUAACUACGUG